Molecule: non-coding RNA, 510 nt
Organism: Fundulus heteroclitus (mummichog)
Lineage: Eukaryota; Metazoa; Chordata; Actinopteri; Cyprinodontiformes; Fundulidae
Source: the annotation of a RefSeq genome assembly
AGUGACUCUGACAUGAUCUGCAAGCCCAAAGAUAAUCCCCAAAUCACCUGCAAACAUGAGAUUCAGGACUAUAACCGCAUCCUCUGGUACAAACAGACAACGGAUCAUCAGAUGCAGUUCCUGGGGUUCAUCUCUAAGUGACCAAGUUCACCAGGUUCCUGAGCACAUCCUUAAAAAACCAGGGGAAGCUGCCACGAUAAAAUGCUCACACACUAGUCCAAGCUAUGAUCGGGUCCUCUGGUACAAGCAGUCGACCCAGCUUCAGUUCCUGGGACACAUGUACAAAAACAUGGAAAAUCCUGAAGCUGAGCUGAAAGGGAAGCUGGGUGGGAAUGCAGAAAAAGACCAAACCUGCACGUUAACACUUGAAGAUCUCGGUCCAAACAGCAGCGCAGUUUAUUUCUGCGCCGCUCGCUACCACAGUGCUGCAAAAACACCGCUCCACGGGGAGGAUCUUCUUUGAAGCAAAACCGUAUUUAACCUUGCAGAUAUUCUGCAGAACUCCGUUAG